CCAUCUUCUAAAUCUUUCCAUCUGGUGUUUUGAUCAGAAAAUGUUCAUCAUCUCUUAAUUAAUUGCAGAAGGGAACGUGUCACAGCAAGUGGAGGCGAAGUAGGAAGACUUGGUAUAUUUGGUGGUGCUGAGAUUGGUCCUCUUCGCUGUUGGCCAGGAGGUUUAUGCCUUUCAAGAUCAAUCGGAGAUAUGGAUGUUGGGGAAUUCAUUGUUCCAAUACCAUUUGUCAAACAAGUGAAACUAUCAGCUGUAGGUGGAAGGCUAAUUAUUGCAUCUGAUGGAGUUUGGGAUGCCAUAUCAUCAGACAUGGCAGCCAAGUCUUGUCGUGGCUUGCCUGCUGAGCUUGCUGCUAGACAAGUUGUGAAGGUAGUGG
Molecule: long non-coding RNA, 373 nt
Organism: Solanum stenotomum
Lineage: Eukaryota; Viridiplantae; Streptophyta; Magnoliopsida; Solanales; Solanaceae
Exons: 3
Source: RefSeq, a predicted model, not a curated record